RNAcentral lists this ribosomal RNA (402 nucleotides) under uncultured bacterium. RNAcentral describes it as "bacterial SSU rRNA". It matches the Rfam family "Bacterial small subunit ribosomal RNA", at positions 28 to 420 of the family's 1533-position model. The record is from RNAcentral.
GACGAACGCUGGCGGCGCGCCUAAUACAUGCAAGUCGAGCGAGAAGACGUAGCAAUACGUUUGUAAAGCGGCGAACGGGUGAGGAAUACAUGGGUAACCUACCCUCGAGUGGGGAAUAACUAGCCGAAAGGUUAGCUAAUACCGCGUACGCUCCUUGGACUUCGGUUCAGGGAGGAAAGCGAUAUCGUGGGUAUCGCGCUCUUGGAUGGGCUCAUGUCCUAUCAGCUUGUUGGUGAGGUAACGGCUCACCAAGGCUUCGACGGGUAGCUGGUCUGAGAGGACGAUCAGCCACACUGGCACUGCGACACGGGCCAGACUCCUACGGGAGGCAGCAGUAAGGAAUAUUGCGCAAUGGGCGAAAGCCUGACGCAGCGACGCCGCGUGGGGGAGUGAAGGUCUUCG